This 422-nucleotide ribosomal RNA is filed under the name uncultured bacterium. RNAcentral's name for it is "partial 16S ribosomal RNA". It matches the Rfam family "Bacterial small subunit ribosomal RNA", at positions 359 to 773 of the family's 1533-position model. The record is from RNAcentral.
GAAUUUCGGACAAUGGGCGAAAGCCUGAUCCAGCAAUGCCGCGUGCAGGAUGAAGGCCUUCGGGUUGUAAACUGCUUCUGUACGGAACGAAAAACUUUUGGUUAAUACCCUGGAGUCAUGACGGUACCGGAAGAAUAAGCACCGGCUAACUACGUGCCAGCCGCCGCGGUAAUAAGACGGGUGCCAGCGUUAAUCGGAAUUACUGGGCGGAAAGCGUGCGCAGGCGGUUUUGUAAGACAGAGGUGAAAUCCCCGGGCUCAACCUGGGAACUGCCUUUGUGACUGCAAGGCUAGAGUACGGCAGAGGGGGGUGGAAUUCCGCGUGUAGCAGUGAAAUGCGUAGAUAUGCGGAGGAACACCGAUGGCGAAGGCAACCCCCUGGGCCUGUACUGACGCUCAUGCACGAAAGCGUGGGGAGCAAAC